GUCGGCCGGGCUCCUGGGCCCGGGCGCAGCGCGCACCGGGGGCUGGCGGCGGCGGGGGCGGGGGCGGCGCGCGGCGGCCAAUGGCGC
RNAcentral lists this microRNA precursor (87 nucleotides) under Otolemur garnettii (small-eared galago). RNAcentral's name for it is "miRNA (ENSOGAG00000032712.1)". Lineage: Eukaryota; Metazoa; Chordata; Mammalia; Primates; Galagidae. The record is from RNAcentral.